AUCUAUAGGGGUGAUAUGUCUCUCUCUUCCUCCCCAACCCUGCCCACCUCCCUGUACCAGAGCCAUGAACUCUCGGGGCCCCAUCUCUGCUUCCCCCCCUCCCCGGGUGUGGUGGAGGGAGAGGUGACACCACAAAACGGUUUCUGUGUCCCACUGUCUUAAAGCCAGGCCUGCCAAAGCCUGGGCCCUCAGCCACACUGGGAGUCCCAGGGGAGGGAUGGGUUGGGAGAACUGCAUAUGUAAGCCCUGGGCAAGGGGAUAGGGUUGGGGGGCUGGCACAGGCUUCAGAAGUAUUUGCACAAUUAGAAAAGUCCCCAAAAGCUUUUUCCUUGGAGGGUACACUUCCUUCACUGUCCUUAUUGCUAGGCCUGGGGCUUGAGCUGAGGAUGGGAUGAUGUGCCCAGGGACGGACCCACCAGAGCACAAGGGAAGGUGGCUCCCUGGGGGGCAUCCCCAGGACUCCCCUCAGUGCCUUCAGCCCACCAGCAGGACCUGGAGUUUGGGGAGUAGGGAUGAGUCAGUCAAGCACAAUUGUUCUCUGAGUGGAACCAAAGAAGCAAGGAGCUGGGGCCCCCAGCCCUGGCCCCCCAGGAGCACAAGCGGGGUCCCCACAGCCAAGGCAGUGGGGUUGGCUGUUGAGGAAUGGGCAGGCAAGGUCACCGCUUAGUCCUGUCCACGGGCGAUGAGCUGUGGGUUCUGCUGAGUGGGUGGAGCUCACUGCUUUCUCCCAGCUUGGAGCCAUUUUGAAAGCUAAUGCAGAGGGAAAGGGAGGGCCACCUGGUACUUGUCUACCCUGCCUCCUCUGUUCUGAAACUCCAACCCCCUCAGCUUGGGGGAAUGCACCUUUUUCCUUUUCCUUCUCACUUUUGCAUGUUUUUACUGAUCAUUCAAUAUGCUAACCAUUCUCAGCCCUGAGCCUUGGAGAGGAGGGCUGUGAGCCUUCGGUCAGUCUCUGGGGAUGAAACUUACAUGCUUUGUAUAUUUUCUCAAUUAGAUCUCUUUUCAGAAGUGUCUGUAGAACAAUAAAAAUCUUUUACUUCUGAA
Sapajus apella (tufted capuchin) is the source of this 1044-nucleotide RNA transcript. RefSeq lists it as uncharacterized. The record is from RefSeq and is a predicted model, not a curated record. NCBI's taxonomy places the organism in Eukaryota, Metazoa, Chordata, Mammalia, Primates, Cebidae. The transcript has a single exon.